AUUGAACGCUGGCGGCAGGCCUAACACAUGCAAGUCGAGCGGAUGAAGGGAGCUUGCUCCUGGAUUCAGCGGCGGACGGGUGAGUAAUGCCUAGGAAUUUGCCUGGUAGUGGGGGAUAACGUCCGGAAACGGGCGCUAAUACCGCAUACGUCCUGAGGGAGAAAGUGGGGGAUCUUCGGACCUCACGCUAUCAGAUGAGCCUAGGUCGGAUUAGCUAGUUGGUGGGGUAAAGGCCUACCAAGGCGACGAUCCGUAACUGGUCUGAGAGGAUGAUCAGUCACACUGGAACUGAGACACGGUCCAGACUCCUACGGGAGGCAGCAGUGGGGAAUAUUGGACAAUGGGCGAAAGCCUGAUCCAGCCAUGCCGCGUGUGUGAAGAAGGUCUUCGGAUUGUAAAGCACUUUAAGUUGGGAGGAAGGGCAGUAAGUUAAUACCUUGCUGUUUUGACGUUACCAACAGAAUAAGCACCGGCUAACUUCGU
RNAcentral lists this ribosomal RNA (483 nucleotides) under uncultured bacterium. RNAcentral's name for it is "partial 16S ribosomal RNA". It matches the Rfam family "Bacterial small subunit ribosomal RNA", at positions 30 to 506 of the family's 1533-position model. The record is from RNAcentral.